GAUGAACGCUGACAGAAUGCUUAACACAUGCAAGUCAACUUGAAUUUGGGUUUUUAACUUAGGUUUGGGUGGCGGACGGGUGAGUAACGCGUAAAGAACUUGCCUCACAGCUAGGGACAACAUUUGGAAACGAAUGCUAAUACCUAAUAUUAUGAUAAUAGGGCAUCCUAUAAUUAUGAAAGCUAUAAGCGCUGUGAGAGAGCUUUGCGUCCCAUUAGCUAGUUGGAGAGGUAACGGCUCACCAAGGCGAUGAUGGGUAGCCGGCCUGAGAGGGUGAUCGGCCACAAGGGGACUGAGACACGGCCCUUACUCCUACGGGAGGCAGCAGUGGGGAAUAUUGGACAAUGGACCGAGAGUCUGAUCCAGCAAUUCUGUGUGCACGAUGAAGUUUCUCGGAAUGUAAAGUGCUUUCAGUUGGGAAGAAACAAAUGACGGUACCAACAGAAGAAGUGACGGCUAAAUACGUG
This 467-nucleotide ribosomal RNA is filed under the name uncultured bacterium. RNAcentral describes it as "partial 16S ribosomal RNA". It matches the Rfam family "Bacterial small subunit ribosomal RNA", at positions 28 to 507 of the family's 1533-position model. The record is from RNAcentral.